CGGGACGGGUGAGUAAUGUCUAGGGAAACUGCCUGAUGGGGAGGGGAUACUACUGGAAACGGUAGCUAAUACCGCAUAACGUCGCAAGACCAAAGAGGGGGACCUUCGGGCUUCUUGCCAUCGGAUGUGCCCAGAUGGGAUUAGCUAGUAGGUGGGGUAACGGCUCACCUAGGCGACGAUCCCUAGCUGGUCUGAGAGGAUGACCAGCCACACUGGAACUGAGACACGGUCCAG
This 234-nucleotide ribosomal RNA is filed under the name uncultured bacterium. RNAcentral's name for it is "partial 16S ribosomal RNA". It matches the Rfam family "Bacterial small subunit ribosomal RNA", at positions 100 to 334 of the family's 1533-position model. The record is from RNAcentral.